GCUGAGCGCUGCUGUCUCCACAGCUCGCUUCAAAUGUAUAAGCAAUCUUUGUACUACUCGGAUUGACUUGACGUGAUAAGAUCUUCGUCGAGGAUGCUUUUUAUAGCAGCCGGAUUCUACACAAGUCGCUUCUAAACCUGCACAUGUGCAACACUUUGAUUUUAGACCUCAAAUCAGAUGGGACUACCCGCUGAACUUAA
Molecule: unclassified non-coding RNA, 200 nt
Filed under: soil metagenome
Description: partial contains internal transcribed spacer 2 and large subunit ribosomal RNA
Source: RNAcentral